This 21-nucleotide non-coding RNA is filed under the name Caenorhabditis elegans. The record is from RNAcentral. Lineage: Eukaryota; Metazoa; Nematoda; Chromadorea; Rhabditida; Rhabditidae.
UCUAUUGAUUUAGGAGACAAG